Molecule: long non-coding RNA, 2276 nt
Organism: Oncorhynchus keta (chum salmon)
Lineage: Eukaryota; Metazoa; Chordata; Actinopteri; Salmoniformes; Salmonidae
Exons: 4
Source: RefSeq, a predicted model, not a curated record
CAUAAAAUUAUUUGUUAAACGUGAAGAGGGUCAUUCGUUAAAAAUAUAAUUCCAUUUGAAUGGCCUGACCUGUUUUAACGUGUACUGCUGGAGAAACCUCUAGAGGGAGCCUCUGAACCUUCGAGCCUCAAAGUCUAAUUCUGGUUAAACACUACUCUCAUUGUUAUAAGAAGCUCUGGAGAGAAUAUAACGUUUAUUUCAUAUCUGAAACUCCGUUAUAGCUCCGUGCUCUGUUAUCUGCAUUCAGCUGAUCAAUUAUUGCAGACCGUCAAUUAGCCAACCGAUAUAGAUGUGAAGCACUUAAAUGAAGUGGAUGUAACUCUGGAUGUGGACACAGCUCAUCCUAACCUACUGAUAGAUGGGAAAACAGUAAGCUGGAUAAAGGAAACACCACAGAGACUGUGUAGUGAGAAUAUGUUUGAUGAGGAUCCCUAUGUGCUGGGCAUUAUGGGCCGUGCUUGGAGGGCCUACUGGAAGGUGAAUGUGGAGAAGAAGGAGGACUGGGUACUUGGUGUUACCAAGGCAACAUCUAACAGGAAGGGACAAUUGGUUCUUAGCCCUGCCAAAGGCUUCUGGGUAAUCAGGCUGUCCAAUGGGGGAAGACUGAAAGCCAUGGAUGAUAAGGAGCAUGUUCUUGACAAAGAUAUUCCAGAUAAAGUUGGGAUUUAUCUAGAUUAUAAGGAAAAUAAGGUGACUUUCUACAAUGCAGAAGACAGCUCACUCAUCUACUCAUUUAUCAAUGGACCAGGUUAUCAGGAUGAUGUCCGCCCACUUUUCUCACCCUGGAACAAUGAUACAGAUCCAAUCACAAUUUUGUCCAUUGUUUAGAAUACACAUAAUAUACCAUACACGGUCAGAUGCCUGAUUAAAGCUUACAUUGAUGUUUUAACUGUUAUUUCAUCACUUGAUCAAAGCAGUUUGAUCUCUAUCAUUGGAUCUCUUGAUCCCUAAGAAUAUACUGUACUGUAAACUGUAUAUGUUUGCCACUUUUCAUGUUGAGUUGUUAUACACAAACAUUCCACAUGAUGUGGAUGAUGUGGAAACUAAGCUACAGUAUGGAGAGGUUUUAUUUUGUUGAACGACUUCAAUUUUAUAUUUACAAUGAAAGGGAACCAAUGCGGGGUCACCCGUUGUCACGAACCGGCUCAAAGCCCGUAACAAAAGGGAGACAACGUGGAGAUAAGGAGUAACAAAAUAUAUAUUUAUUAACUAAAGCAACUAAGGAAAAUAUCCAAUGGUGUGUGUAAUCAGUAAUCAGUAGUGUAAGUGACUGUUUUGCAUGCAUGAAUGUGAUAAUGCAGGGUGUUGAAAGGUUCCAAAGCAAACAAACAAAAGGCCACCAAGAACCACAACACAAUCUACAAAAGGUGUCUGCAUGGAGAGAGUCUCCUCCAUGAAUGGGGAAGUGGUCUAUUUAUCCUGGGAGACACCUGGCCCAGGUGUUUCCCAUGUAGCUGACGACCCUCCCAACUCCGCCCACCGGCAUCCUAAUAAGGAAACAAGAACAAAUAGAGAAUACGGCAGACAGAGUGGGAGGGUCGUCACACCCGUGGCACCCACUUUGAUGCGAUUGGCAAUCCCAUAGUGGUCCCCUUUGAAUGUUAAACGAAAAAUGUGAGUUUUGUCCACUGUGCCUCAAAACAGUCUUGAUUAAUACAAAUAUGGAAAACAUUUUUAUCUUGUCUAUAUCUGUCAAUAUGUAUUGUGAUGCAGUCCCUGUGACUUUUGAGAAAUUGGAAUAUCAUUCACUUCAGCUGUAAUUCAUAACAUCUCCAAAUGAGUGGUCACUAAAUGCAGUCAUCAAGUAAAACAGGUGGAGUCAAUCAAGUUGUAGAAACAUCUCAAGGAUGAUCAAUGGAAAAAAGAUGCACCUGAACUCAAAUUCGAGUCUCAUACAAAAGGGUCUGAAUUACUUGUGUAAAUAAGGUGUUUCUGUUUUUGAGUUUUUCUACAUUGCAAAUAUGUCUAAAAACUUGUUUCCGUUUAAUCAAUAAUGGAUAUUGUGUGUAGAUUACUGGGGAUUUAUACUUUUAUAAGUCCGUUUUAGAAUAAGGCUGUAACGUAACAAAAUGAGGAAAAAGUCAAGGGGUCUGAAUACUUUCUGAAGACACUGUAUUACAUUUUUUACCCAUCUUUGCCAUGACCUGUGUACUAUGUCAAAAUGAUGUAUGUAGGCUAUUCAAAUGUAUGAUGUACACAGUCAGGUCCAAAAUUAUUGUCACCCUUGAUUAAGAUGAGAAAGAAAGACUGUAUCAAAUAAAUCAUACAAAUAAUGA